UACGAAGGGGGCUAGCGUUGCUCGGAAUCACUGGGCGUAAAGCGCACGUAGGCGGCUUUCUAAGUCAGGGGUGAAAUCCUGGAGCUCAACUCCAGAACUGCCUUUGAUACUGGAGAGCUUGAGUCCGGGAGAGGUGAGUGGAACUCCGAGUGUAGAGGUGAGAUUCGUAGAUAUUCGGAAGAACACCAGUGGCGAAGGCGGCUCACUGGCCCGGUACUGACGCUGAGGUGCGAAAGCGUGGGGAGCAAACAGG
This 253-nucleotide ribosomal RNA is filed under the name uncultured bacterium. RNAcentral describes it as "partial 16S ribosomal RNA". It matches the Rfam family "Bacterial small subunit ribosomal RNA", at positions 524 to 776 of the family's 1533-position model. The record is from RNAcentral.